UAGGCUACAUGACGGUACGGCAUUGUCUCCAUGGUUACUGACGGUUAGACACGUACCUUGUGUUCUUUAGUAACCAUGGAGACAGUACCGUAUCGUCGUAGAUCCUAGCAUGUAUGGAGACAAACUGGUUAGCAUAUCUCGUCUAGUGCACACAGCAAGAAGGAUCUUAAGGGUUUCUGUGAAAUAGUGGAUGGUCUGAAGUGACGAUGAUCUCAGCAUCCCCUCCUCCCAAACAAAUAUUCCUUCUUUCUUCCGAAGCGGAGCCUGGGAGGCGGCAGCAGCGUGAGGUGACAUCAGCGCUGCAUGCAUCAGAGGAGGAAGCAAUGGAGAUGAGGCAUUAAGAUCCGGUUACACAGCAAAUAAUGAGGCUGCACUGAGAGGGAAGAAUGGGCUCCGGUGAGGUCAUCCUGACUAGACUCAUUCAGCGGGAAGACCGCAAGUCAAUGAGCAGGAGAUCACAUGGUGGCAGGUUGGAGGCAUGAAUGAAACGGGAGCAGCGAGAAUAUCUGCAGUAAAGCUGCUUUACAGCCAAAAGUGACGUUUUAAACAACAGCUUAAAUGUCGCUGAUUUCAAUUUUUCCUAUCCUGUAAACAAAAAUGUAAAUAUGAAAAAAAAAGAUUAGACUGAAAUCUAGAUAAAAACUUAGAUUUUAAAUCUAAAGGUUAAAAACUUUUUGGUAAAACUUGCAGACAAUAACAGGGCUGCAACGAUUCCUCAAAUGAUUCGAUUAUUAAAAUUCCUCGAGGAAAAUGUA
Molecule: non-coding RNA, 755 nt
Organism: Poecilia reticulata (guppy)
Lineage: Eukaryota; Metazoa; Chordata; Actinopteri; Cyprinodontiformes; Poeciliidae
Source: RefSeq, a predicted model, not a curated record